CUGCACCCAAAUGAACCUGUAUGCAUUACUUGGCACAUUUCUUCUCCUCACAUAAUCCCAAGAUGACUUCACACUAAAUUCUCCUCUUGAUUCCAACAUCCACAGUGGUUUGUCAAGAGCAUCAUGCACGACUGGAGGCUUAUAUGCAGCAGAAUGUGAUUUGCCAAUUGUUCUGGUAAUAUUUCCCUGAUCUUGACCUCAUCCCGUUGAUCAUUGACUACGACAUCAUAUAUGU
This 235-nucleotide long non-coding RNA is filed under the name Nicotiana benthamiana. Its description in RNAcentral is "long non-coding RNA (NBEN_LNC010622)". Lineage: Eukaryota; Viridiplantae; Streptophyta; Magnoliopsida; Solanales; Solanaceae. The record is from RNAcentral.